Molecule: ribosomal RNA, 214 nt
Filed under: uncultured bacterium
Lineage: Bacteria
Description: partial 16S ribosomal RNA
Rfam family: Bacterial small subunit ribosomal RNA
Source: RNAcentral
UACGUAGGGUCCGAGCGUUUGUCCGGAAUUACUGGGCGUAAAGCGCGCGCAGGCGGCCCGCGAGGUGUCACGUGAAAGCCCCGGGCUCAACCCGGGAGGGUCGUGGCAAACCGGCGGCUUUGAGGCCGGUAGAGGUGGGGUGGAACUCCUGGUGGAGUGGUGAAAUGCGUAGAGAUCAGGAAGAACACCCCGUGGCGAAGGCGGGCCCAACUGG